RNAcentral lists this ribosomal RNA (497 nucleotides) under uncultured bacterium. RNAcentral's name for it is "partial 16S ribosomal RNA". It matches the Rfam family "Bacterial small subunit ribosomal RNA", at positions 28 to 507 of the family's 1533-position model. The record is from RNAcentral.
GAUGAACGCUGGCGGCGUGCCUAAUACAUGCAAGUCGAGCGAACGGACGAGAAGCUUGCUUCUCUGAUGUUAGCGGCGGACGGGUGAGUAACACGUGGAUAACCUACCUAUAAGACUGGGAUAACUUCGGGAAACCGUAGCUAAUACCGGAUAAUAUUUUGAACCGCAUGGUUCAAAAGUGAAAGACGGUCUUGCUGUCACUUAUAGAUGGAUCCGCGCUGCAUUAGCUAGUUGGUAAGGUAACGGCUUACCAAGGCAACGAUGCAUAGCCGACCUGAGAGGGUGAUCCGCCACACUGGAACUGAGACACGGUCCAGACUCCUACAGGAGGCAGCAGUCGGGAAUCUUCCGCAAUGGGCGAAAGCCUGACGGAGCAACGCCGCGUGAGUGAUGAAGGUCUUCGGAUCGUAAAACUCUGUUAUUAGGGAAGAACAUAUGUGUAAGAAACUGUGCACAUCUUGACGGUACCUAAUCAGAAAGCCACGGCUAACUACGCG